Molecule: non-coding RNA, 42 nt
Filed under: Trypanosoma brucei brucei
Lineage: Eukaryota; Euglenozoa; Kinetoplastea; Trypanosomatida; Trypanosomatidae
Source: RNAcentral
AGAACAUAAAUCAGCACAGAGAUAUAGUGAUAGAUGAUAUUA